CCGCAGCUGGACUCCACCGAGGACAGACGGUCCACGAUGCUGGAGAGGCACUCCAGACUGGAGGCUCCGACUGUCUUAUCGCACAAACUCUCUGAUAAGAGGAAGACAAAGUCAGGAUGUAAAUACAGGGAUCAUUUUAAAUUGUUCUCCUCCAGAAGACCGAAAGAGGCUUUUGCAGUUCGACCCUGACGAGUUUAGGUAAUGAUGCUGUUGACAGCUUACAAGGAUACAAUGCGGAUAUUUCUCACAAUGUGUCAAAACGUUUGGCGAGCCCCCUUCUCUGGGAACUGUGCGCACCUAAGAAAACACUAGUACCUGCUGCCUCUGAAUUGCCGUCGGAGUUUGGAUUAGGCACAGCUGAAGAAGACAUCGGCUCGCCUGCGCUUGUAGCCGCUGAGAAGAUCAAAGGCUGGUAAAGCUGAGAACAACGAGGGACAAUGAGAAAACCUUGUAUCAACCGAUAGCUAAUUGAGGCUGGAGUUAGAUUGGCGCAGCACAUGGUGUUAUUGGGAGCACACUGGAGCUUAUAUUGGCGCAGACAUUGCGCGCAGGCCGUGCUCUGUGAUCUGUGCGCUCGGCUGGUCUCUUGGGAACUCUCUUGAGUUUGCUUUUUUGUUGUUCUCAAGGGUCAGAGACAGAGUUAAGUGAAGGGCAGGAGGUGAUCUUUUAUGUCCAUCUUCCUCACGUCUGAAAACCUUAUUUCUUCUAAAGUGUGUCAUGCUUUGACUUAAUAUGCUGCUUGUUUGGUGCAACACAAGAACCCUGACAGAGAGGCAAUUCAUCACUUACAUUCCUGUAAAAUAGAUACCUCUUUAAAGCCCAUAUUUAAUUCUACUUUCAUAUUUAAGUAUAUUUUAACAGCCAAAAUACUGUUGGUGAAAUUUGAUUAGGGGAAAUCAGUUUUGUGAGUAAAUAAAGUUUAAUACAAAAAUAAAGGUGCAUUCUUUUGCAAAACUCAGUGGCUUCUUGUUAAAGGCUAUUUCACCCCCACAUAAAGUCCAAGUCCAUUUUACAGUCCCCACAAGAAUUAGUGAAACAAAAAAACAUUUUGAGUGGCAACGCCAUUUGUUUGGCAGUGAGCAGAAAGAGGUGCACUGCCAGUCCUGCUGCAGUGAAUCCUUUUCCUAGCAGGAUAUUCAAGGAAAGUCUGGAUAAAUCAGAGCACUCAGGCUCCAGGCUUAUCCCCUUCCCCCCCACCCUCUUCCUAUACCAGCUCGCCUUUCAUCAGCUUUGACUUUUAAAACACUGCCUUCACAGCCAAAUGAGAAUUAUAUGGUGUCAUCAGUAACACCGAAAUCCCUGUAAAGUUAGACAAGAAAGAGUCGGGGCUCUGAGACGGUUCUGCUUCUUUGUGGGGAGUGCAUGCUUAAAAUAAGACAGUAAUGUUCCAAACACAGCUGGAUAGCUUUAUAGCAAACACUUCUAAUAGCACAAAAUGCAGGUUUAUAUAGAGUAUUUCAACUAAAUAUUUGCAUUUUUAGACAGUAAUAAGUGCACACAUUUAACCAAACAACUCUUUCUCUUACACAAAUUGUUAUUGUUGAUUUUGUUGGUCAAAUGAAGUCAUUACCAAACAGACAUUAAAUUAGCAGAUACCCAUGGAGCUGUAAAAUGUAGUGAAGUAACACAACUGAGUGAGUGAGCAAGAACCCAUUAAAAUCACAUUAGUGUUUGGAGAUAUCAUGUUUCUGUCUGGUUCCUACAGAAAACAGGAUAUUUGGUAAAAGAUAUGAAUGGUUCUGUUGAAAAGAGCCAUAAGAGCCCUGGAUUACUGUAUGUUCUUCAGUUUUUAAUUCAGCUCAGUGGUGGAACAAGUAUUAAUAUCCUUUACUGAAACAAACAUACCAUUAGAAAUAUGUAAAA
Long non-coding RNA from Morone saxatilis (striped sea-bass), 1863 nucleotides. RefSeq lists it as uncharacterized. The transcript has 2 exons. The record is from RefSeq and is a predicted model, not a curated record. Lineage: Eukaryota; Metazoa; Chordata; Actinopteri; Moronidae.